RNAcentral lists this ribosomal RNA (463 nucleotides) under uncultured bacterium. RNAcentral's name for it is "partial 16S ribosomal RNA". It matches the Rfam family "Bacterial small subunit ribosomal RNA", at positions 28 to 507 of the family's 1533-position model. The record is from RNAcentral.
GACGAACGCUGGCGGCGUGCUUAACACAUGCAAGUCGAACGGAAAGGCCUUUUCGGAGGUACUCGAGUGGCGAACGGGUGAGUAACACGUGGGUGAUCUGCCCUGCACUCUGGGAUAAGCCUGGGAAACUGGGUCUAAUACCGGAUAGGACCGCACUUUAGUGUGUGUGGUGGAAAGUUUUUUCGGUGUAGGAUGAGCCCGCGGCCUAUCAGCUUGUUGGUGGGGUAAUGGCCUACCAAGGCGGCGACGGGUAGCCGGACUGAGAGGUUGUUCGGCCACAUUGGGACUGAGAUACGGCCCAGACGCCUACGGGAGGCAGCAGUGGGGAAUAUUGCACAAUGGGCGCAAGCCUGAUGCAGCGACGCCGCGUGGGGGAGGACGGCCUUCGGGUUGUAAACUCCUUUCGCCAGGGACGAAGCGUUUUGUGACGGUACCUGGAGAAGAAGCACCGGCUAACUACGUG